This is a long non-coding RNA of Manduca sexta (tobacco hornworm), 330 nucleotides long. RefSeq lists it as uncharacterized. Lineage: Eukaryota; Metazoa; Arthropoda; Insecta; Lepidoptera; Sphingidae. The record is from RefSeq and is a predicted model, not a curated record. The transcript is spliced from 3 exons.
UGGCAACACUGAUUUUUACAUUAAAAUUGGUAGAGUAAGUCGGCAACCCAAAACGUCGUUCUUCCUUUUUAAUCUUGGACGUAGCGCACGACAGUCGGAAUUUUAUCGUUCAUUAUUUAAAUAAUCACGCAACGCAUUGACUCGUUUUAUACGAGUUAAAUAAAACUUCUCUCUUCGGAACAUGAGAGCCAAGUGGCGUAAGAAGCGUAUGCGAAGGCUAAAGCGCAAAAGGAGGAAGAUGCGUGCGAGGUCCAAAUAAAUGGUACAUGGGUGGGAUAAAUUACUGCCGUGAUUUCUGCUUAUGUACUAAAUAAAAAAAAUAUAAAAAUC